CAGAAGAUAGUUAAAAAAAUAUAAUAUUGGCUUUGGGAGUCAAAGUUGGAGAUAAAAUUUUCUUUUCUGA
RNAcentral lists this transfer RNA (70 nucleotides) under Dermophis mexicanus (Mexican burrowing caecilian). Its description in RNAcentral is "tRNA-Pro". It matches the Rfam family "tRNA". Rfam says of the family: Transfer RNA (tRNA) molecules are approximately 80 nucleotides in length. The record is from RNAcentral. Lineage: Eukaryota; Metazoa; Chordata; Amphibia; Gymnophiona; Dermophiidae.